This 253-nucleotide ribosomal RNA is filed under the name uncultured bacterium. RNAcentral's name for it is "partial 16S ribosomal RNA". It matches the Rfam family "Bacterial small subunit ribosomal RNA", at positions 524 to 776 of the family's 1533-position model. The record is from RNAcentral.
UACGUAGGGGGCAAGCGUUGUCCGGAUUUAUUGGGCGUAAAGAGCGUGUAGGCGGCCAGACAGGUCCGUUGUGAAAACUCGAGGCUCAACCUCGAGACGCCGAUGGAAACCGUCUGGCUAGAGUCCGGAAGAGGAGAGUGGAAUUCCUGGUGUAGCGGUGAAAUGCGCAGAUAUCAGGAGGAACACCCGUGGCGAAAGCGGCUCUCUGGGACGGUACUGACGCUGAGACGCGAAAGCGUGGGGAGCAAACAGG